AAUUUAGCCGGAGGAAAGAACUAACUAGGAUUCCCUCAGUAGCUGCGAGCGAACAGGGAAGAGCCCAGCACCGAAUCCCGCGGCCGAUACCGGGCGCCGGGAAAUGUGGUGUUAGGGAGGAUCCGUUUAUCCCGAGGUCGUGCGGUGCGUCCAAGUCCUUCUUGAACGGGGCCACAGCCCAUAGAGGGUGCCAGGCCCGUAGUGACCGCUGCCGAUCGCGGGAGGAUCUCUCCUCAGAGUCGGGUUGCUUGAGAGUGCAGCCCUAAGUGGGUGGUAAACUCCAUCUAAGGCUAAAUAUGACCACGAGACCGAUAGCGAACAAGUACCGUGAGGGAAAGUUGAAAAGCACUUUGAAGAGAGAGUUCAAGAGUACGUGAAACCGUUCAGGGGUAAACCUGAGAAACCCGAAAGGUCGAAAGGGGAAAUUCAUUCGCGUUUCGGCUUUGUCGGCGUUGGAUGGUCGAGUGACGGAUGGCGUACGCGUCGUCCGCGCCUUCCUUUCUUCGAACCGGCGCCGAACGCGUGCACUUUUCCCCUAGUAGGACGUCGCGAUCCGUUGGGGUGUCGGUCUAAGGCACUUGCGGUGGAGCCCGUGCGGACGUUUCGGCGUCCGCUCGGACCCGUGGUGUCCCGGCCGACUCGCUCGACGGUAUACAGAUGGCGCGGGGCCGCUACUCAGUUAGCGUUCGGCCUGUGGCAAGCGCGUUCGGCGUUUGACGGCGAUCGGACCUGGUGCCGGUCCUGUCCCCGAACGACUGUUGGCUGCGG
RNAcentral lists this ribosomal RNA (768 nucleotides) under Strangalia attenuata. RNAcentral's name for it is "eukaryotic LSU rRNA". It matches the Rfam family "Eukaryotic large subunit ribosomal RNA", at positions 44 to 605 of the family's 3401-position model. Lineage: Eukaryota; Metazoa; Arthropoda; Insecta; Coleoptera; Cerambycidae. The record is from RNAcentral.